CAGUGACCACAGAAAAGCAUUGGUAGACACAUUGCAUCAAAGUGCCUGUUAAUGACCAACUACAUGAGGAGAGGGCCCAUGCUUUGUUAUAAGCAUGUCCAUACACGUAUUACAAUGCCAGGCUUUCAAUUCGUUUCCACAAAGCAAAAUGCAGUUGUGGGUAUAAACUCACGACGUAUCGUAAGAAAAACUGUUUGAACACCAGACUGAGACUCGAGAUCAGUGAACAGUGG
Pelobates cultripes (western spadefoot toad) is the source of this 233-nucleotide non-coding RNA. The record is from the annotation of a GenBank genome assembly. Lineage: Eukaryota; Metazoa; Chordata; Amphibia; Anura; Pelobatidae.